RNAcentral lists this ribosomal RNA (517 nucleotides) under uncultured fungus. RNAcentral's name for it is "eukaryotic LSU rRNA". The stretch from base 95 to 248 matches the Rfam family "5.8S ribosomal RNA". The record is from RNAcentral. Lineage: Eukaryota; Fungi.
GCAAUACCUCUCCCUCGAGUACUAUGUAUUCAUAUACCACUUGUAUGUUGUCGAAUGUGAUCAAUGGGCUUAUAUGCCUAUAAUAAUCAUAUACAACUUUCAGCAACGGAUCUCUUGGCUCUCGCAUCGAUGAAGAACGCAGCGAAAUGCGAUAAGUAAUGUGAAUUGCAGAAUUCAGUGAAUCAUCGAAUCUUUGAACGCACCUUGCGCUCCUUGGUAUUCCGAGGAGCAUGCCUGUUUGAGUGUCAUUAAAUUCUCAACCCUCCAGCUUUUGCGAGUUGUGAUGGGCUUGGAUAUGGGGGUCUGCGGGCCUUUAUCAAGAGGUCGGCUCUCCUGAAAUACAUUAGCGGAACCGUUUGCAGUCCCGUCACUAGUGUGAUAAUUAUCUACACUGUGAUGAUUGCUCUCUGACUAGUUCAGCUGCUAAUAGUCCCUCGUUGGACAACAUUAAUGAACUUCUUGACCUCAAAUCAGGUAGGACUACCCGCUGAACUUAAGCAUAUCAAUAAGCGGAGGA